This 500-nucleotide ribosomal RNA is filed under the name uncultured bacterium. RNAcentral's name for it is "bacterial SSU rRNA". It matches the Rfam family "Bacterial small subunit ribosomal RNA", at positions 49 to 542 of the family's 1533-position model. The record is from RNAcentral.
UUACACAUGCAAGUCGAGCGGCAGCGCGGGGGCAACCCUGGCGGCGAGCGGCGAACGGGUGAGUAACGCAUCGGAACGUAUCCUGGAGUGGGGGAUAACCCAGCGAAAGUUGGGCUAAUACCGCAUGAGCUCUGAGGAGGAAAGCGGGGGACUCGCAAGAGCCUCGCGCUGCAGGAGCGGCCGAUGUCCGAUUAGCUAGUUGGUGGGGUAAAGGCCUACCAAGGCGACGAUCGGUAGCUGGUCUGAGAGGAUGAUCAGCCACACUGGGACUGAGACACGGCCCAGACUCCUACGGGAGGCAGCAGUGGGGAAUUUUGGACAAUGGGGGCAACCCUGAUCCAGCCAUGCCGCGUGAGUGAAGAAGGCCUUCGGGUUGUAAAGCUCUUUCGGACGGAACGAAAUGGUUACGGUUAACACCUGUGACUGAUGACGGUACCGUAAGAAGAAGCACCGGCUAACUACGUGCCAGCAGCCGCGGUAAUACGUAGGGUGCGAGCGUU